Long non-coding RNA from Oryzias melastigma (Indian medaka), 1314 nucleotides. RefSeq lists it as uncharacterized. The transcript has 3 exons. NCBI's taxonomy places the organism in Eukaryota, Metazoa, Chordata, Actinopteri, Beloniformes, Adrianichthyidae. The record is from RefSeq and is a predicted model, not a curated record.
AGAAUUUUAAUAGAAGUAUACUUCUCAUUUUAGGCAAUUUCAGUUAUCAAGCACCAUUGGGUCACAGUGGACGCAAAGGUCGGCCAUCUUAUGUGGUCACUCGAGAACAACUGUCAUUCCUAAGAUCAUGUGGUUUCACGGCGUCUCAAAUCUCAGGAAUUCUUGGUGUGUCAACCAAAACUGUCAAAAGACGUUUGAGACUGUUUAAUAUGACAAGAAGUUUUUCAGCUAUAUCGGAUGCUGACUUAGAUGAAGUGGUGCAGGACAUUGUAGCUGGAAAUGAUCUGAUAGGUCCCGAAGCAGUCAGAGCAUCCCUUCGUGCAGAUGGAGUCAGAGUCCAAAGACAAAGAGUACGUGCCAGUAUGCUUCGUUUAAACCCAGGAGCAGCUGCCCUUCGGUCUGUGUUGCAUCGACCUCGGUGACGAUCUUACCGUGUUGCAGCACCAAACUCUCUGUGGCACAUUGACGGAAACCACAAACUGAUAAGGUGGAGGAUAGUCAUCCAUGGAGCUAUAGAUGGAUACAGUCGCCUUCUAGUAUUUCUCAGAGCCUCCACCAACAACCGCAGCAGCACAGUUUUGGAGAACUUUGUCCAUGCAGUGGCAAGCUAUGGUGUUCCCUCCAGGGUCAGAACAGACAGAGGAGGUGAAAACAGCUCUGUCUGGAUGAUGAUGAACAUCUUCAGGGGGUUUCAGCGUGGAAGUGCCAUUCAGGGAAGAAGUGUGCACAACCAAAGACUUGAAAGGCUCUGGGGGGGAUCUUUGGCGGGGUAUGACAAAUGUUUAUUAUGAUUUGUUUAACUACCUGGAGAGUGAGGGGGUUGUUGAUUGUGACAAUGAGAUCCACAUGUGGGCUCUGCAUUACAUUUAUUUGCCAAGGAUCAACCGGGACCUGAGAGACUUUGCUGAGCAGUGGAACAACCAUGGCAUAAGAACAGAGAGACACAUGAGCCCCCUCCAGAUCUUUGUCAGGGGCUGCCUUGAGCAACAAAACCGGCCAUCAACUGGCAAGGACGAAAUAUUUAGGGCAGGUAAUGCUUCAGAGGACGUUCCUGGCUUUUUUGCACCUGAAGAUGCUCCUUCGGAAACUCCAGUGAAUUCCUCUCAGGCAGAAGAGCUGGGACUGCUGCUGGAUUGCCCAGAGAGAGUUACAGUACCUGAGGUUCAGUUCACUUUAGGGGAUCAAGUGGCUGAGCAGGUGACAGCCCAGUUUGAUCCACUGAGUGGACCUAGAGGAGAUCAUGGUCUGAAACUAAUCUGUGACCUCAUCUCCUUUUUGACGUCUGACCAUGAUUAAACCUUUGGAAAUGUUGAA